This 155-nucleotide ribosomal RNA is filed under the name Ammannia aspera. RNAcentral's name for it is "5.8S ribosomal RNA". It matches the Rfam family "5.8S ribosomal RNA". From Rfam's summary of the family: 5.8S ribosomal RNA (5.8S rRNA) is a component of the large subunit of the eukaryotic ribosome. The record is from RNAcentral. Lineage: Eukaryota; Viridiplantae; Streptophyta; Magnoliopsida; Myrtales; Lythraceae.
CUCGGCAACGGAUAUCUCGGCUCUCGCAUCGAUGAAGAACGUAGCGAAAUGCGAUACUUGGUGUGAAUUGCAGAAUCCCGUGAACCAUCGAGUCUUUGAACGCAAGUUGCGCCCGAAGCCAUUUGGCCGAGGGCACGUCUGCCUGGGUGUCACGC